Long non-coding RNA from Peromyscus californicus insignis, 353 nucleotides. RefSeq lists it as uncharacterized. Lineage: Eukaryota; Metazoa; Chordata; Mammalia; Rodentia; Cricetidae. The record is from RefSeq and is a predicted model, not a curated record. The transcript is spliced from 3 exons.
CCCAGCUCUCCUCCUCCUCCUUUGCCUCCUCCUCCUCCACUCCCCCCCUUUAUUACCCUUUGUGUCAUCCUCCACAGCUCCAGGAAAGGCACUCAAAAGUGGGGGGCAGGAAAGGAGAGCAUUGGAGAUGUCCACUUCUGCCUCUGUAAGAUAGAUGUUGAAGGCUGUGUGAUUUAGACAGUAUCUAAAGAAAUUAGACACUCCAGAACCAAGAAAAUAAAUACAAGAAAUCAAGAGCACAGAAUAUCUUCUUCCUUCAACCCACAGAACCCUGAAACUCUUCUAAUUCCAUCAAGCACAGAGAAAGGCCCACCUUGGCAGAUGGCCACAGAGGAUGUCAACAAUUUUUUGGA